UACGUAGGCAGCGAGCGUUGUUCGGAGUUACUGGGCGUAAAGCGUGCGUAGGCGGUGGACCAAGUCUGGUGUGAAAUCUCCCGGCUCAACCGGGAGGGUGCGCCGGAAACUGGUUCGCUGGAGUGCGGGAGAGGCAAGCGGAAUUCCAGGUGUAGCGGUGAAAUGCGUAGAUAUCUGGAGGAACACCCGUGGUGCAGACGGCUUGCUGGACCGUGACUGACGCUGAGGCACGAAAGCGUGGGUAGCAAACAGGAUUAGAAACCCCCGUAGUCC
Molecule: ribosomal RNA, 273 nt
Filed under: uncultured bacterium
Lineage: Bacteria
Description: partial 16S ribosomal RNA
Rfam family: Bacterial small subunit ribosomal RNA
Source: RNAcentral